RNAcentral lists this small RNA (83 nucleotides) under Marmota monax (woodchuck). The record is from RNAcentral. Lineage: Eukaryota; Metazoa; Chordata; Mammalia; Rodentia; Sciuridae.
GCCAGGCGUGGUGGCGCAUGCCUGUAAUCCCAGUGGCUCAGGAGGCUGAGACAGAAGGAUGGAGAGUUCAAAGCCAGCCUCAG